UCUUCGAGUCGUUGAUUUCACACUGCCGAGAAAAGCCUCUAGAUAGAAAAUAGGUGCCCGUACCGCAAACCGACACAGGUAGUCAAGAUGAGAAUUCUAAGGUGAGCGAGCGAACUCUCGUUAAGGAACUCGGCAAAAUGACCCCGUAACUUCGGGAGAAGGGGUGCUCUUUAGGGUUAACGCCCAGAAGAGCCGCAGUGAAUAGGCCCAAGCGACUGUUUAUCAAAAACACAGGUCUCUGCUAAACCGUAAGGUGAUGUAUAGGGGCUGACGCCUGCCCGGUGCUGGAAGGUUAAGAGGAGUGGUUAGCUUCUGCGAAGCUACGAAUCGAAGCCCCAGUAAACGGCGGCCGUAACUAUAACGGUCCUAAGGUAGCGAAAUUCCUUGUCGGGUAAGUUCCGACCCGCACGAAAGGCGUAACGAUUUGGGCACUGUCUCAACGAGAGACUCGGUGAAAUCAUAGUACCUGUGAAGAUGCAGGUUACCCGCGACAGGACGGAAAGACCCCGUGGAGCUUUACUGUAGCCUGAUAUUGAAAUUCGGCACAGCUUGUACAGGAUAGGUAGGAGCCUUUGAAACGUGAGCGCUAGCUUACGUGGAGGCGCUGGUGGGAUACUACCCUAGCUGUGUUGGCUUUCUAACCCGCACCACUUAUCGUGGUGGGAGACAGUGUCAGGCGGGCAGUUUGACUGGGGCGGUCGCCUCCUAAAAGGUAACGGAGGCGCUCAAAGGUUCCCUCAGAAUGGUUGGAAAUCAUUCAUAGAGUGUAAAGGCAUAAGGGAGCUUGACUGCGAGACCUACAAGUCGAGCAGGGUCGAAAGACGGACUUAGUGAUCCGGUGGUUCCGCAUGGAAGGGCCAUCGCUCAACGGAUAAAAGCUACCCCGGGGAUAACAGGCUUAUCUCCCCCAAGAGUUCACAUCGACGGGGAGGUUUGGCACCUCGAUGUCGGCUCAUCGCAUCCUGGGGCUGUAGUCGGUCCCAAGGGUUGGGCUGUUCGCCCAUUAAAGCGGUACGCGAGCUGGGUUCAGAACGUCGUGAGACAGUUCGGUCCCUAUCCGUCGUGGGCGUAGGAAAUUUGAGAGGAGCUGUCCUUAGUACGAGAGGACCGGGAUGGACAUACCUCUGGUGUACCAGUUGUCGUGCCAACGGCAUAGCUGGGUAGCUAUGUGUGGACGGGAUAAGUGCUGAAAGCAUCUAAGCAUGAAGCCCCCCUCAAGAUGAGAUUUCCCAACUUCGGUUAUAAGAUCCCU
Molecule: ribosomal RNA, 1252 nt
Filed under: Staphylococcus aureus
Lineage: Bacteria; Bacillati; Bacillota; Bacilli; Caryophanales; Staphylococcaceae
Description: partial 23S ribosomal RNA
Rfam family: Bacterial large subunit ribosomal RNA
Source: RNAcentral